RNAcentral lists this long non-coding RNA (473 nucleotides) under Anser brachyrhynchus (Pink-footed goose). Its description in RNAcentral is "lncRNA (ENSABRG00000016845.1)". Lineage: Eukaryota; Metazoa; Chordata; Aves; Anseriformes; Anatidae. The record is from RNAcentral.
AGCUUCCCAGCGAUGGCCACAGGGCUGCACAGCCCAUGGCUGGUUGCUGGGGUCAGUGAGGAGCCCUGAGUUGCUGUUGGUCCAUGAUCUACUGGCGAUGAGUUCAGUCAUGAGUGGCUCCAGCCUGAGAAACACCAUCCAGGGCCAUGCAAAGGCACUUUGAGCCAGUAGUAGGAGUAUGGGCUUCCUCUGGCUGUUUUCCUGGUUGGAGGCUCUUUAUCUCCGAAGUGGAGGACAGGUACAGAUGCUGCCUUAAGUCCAGGUGCUACCCCAGUGCUGGACAACACUGGUGCUGUCUCACUGCCCUUGGACAUCUACAUGCUCACAACAUCUGUACCACAUACCAGAUUCUCUACCUUGAAAAUCAGGUGACUGCCUUUCACAAAGUUAUAAGAAAGUCUGAAGAAAGAAAACCUGAGAUAAGAACACCAUUGCUCUCCCUUGCCACACAAAAGGAUCUUCUCCAGCCUUAA